CUGCAAGCCUCCAGCAUGCUGGGUCUGGAGUGACACUAUGCCUUCUUACACUGCUUGCAAGAACAUUAUGAAACGGUUUGAGACUUUGCCCUGCUCCAUCCAGAGCAAGGUUAUAGAAAUUUCAGACAAUU
This 131-nucleotide small nucleolar RNA is filed under the name Sorex araneus (European shrew). Its description in RNAcentral is "Small nucleolar RNA SNORA9 (ENSSARG00000015338.1)". It matches the Rfam family "Small nucleolar RNA SNORA9". Rfam says of the family: ACA9 is a member of the H/ACA class of snoRNA that guide the sites of modification of uridines to pseudouridines. Lineage: Eukaryota; Metazoa; Chordata; Mammalia; Eulipotyphla; Soricidae. The record is from RNAcentral.